GACGAACGCUGGCGGCGUGCUUAACACAUGCAAGUCGAACGGAAAGGCCCUGCUUUUGUGGGGUGCUCGAGUGGCGAACGGGUGAGUAACACGUGAGUAACCUGCCCUUGACUUUGGGAUAACUUCAGGAAACUGGGGCUAAUACCGGAUAGGAGCUCCUGCUGCAUGGUGGGGGUUGGAAAGUUUCGGCGGUUGGGGAUGGACUCGCGGCUUAUCAGCUUGUUGGUGGGGUAGUGGCUUACCAAGGCUUUGACGGGUAGCCGGCCUGAGAGGGUGACCGGCCACAUUGGGCCUGAGAUACGGCCCAGACUCCUACGGGAGGCAGCAGUGGGGAAUCUUGCACAAUGGGCGGAAGCCUGAUGCAGAAACGCCGCGUGCGGGAUGACGGCCUUCGGGUUGUAAACCGCUUUCGCCUGUGACGAAGCGUGAGUGACGGUAAUGGGUAAAGAAGCACCGGCUAACUACGUG
Molecule: ribosomal RNA, 468 nt
Filed under: uncultured bacterium
Lineage: Bacteria
Description: partial 16S ribosomal RNA
Rfam family: Bacterial small subunit ribosomal RNA
Source: RNAcentral